AGCGAACGCUGGCGGCAGGCUUAACACAUGCAAGUCGAGCGGACCUUUCGGGGUCAGCGGCGGACGGGUGAGUAACGCGUGGGAACGUGCCUUCCGGUUCGGAAUAACCCUGGGAAACUAGGGCUAAUACCGGAUACGCCCUUACGGGGAAAGGUUUACUGCCGGAAGAUCGGCCCGCGUCUGAUUAGCCAGUUGGUGGGGUAACGGCCUACCAAGGCGACGAUCAGUAGCUGGUCUGAGAGGAUGAUCAGCCACACUGGGACUGAGACACGGCCCAGACUCCUACGGAGGGCAGCAGUGGGGAAUAUUGGGCAAUGGGCGCAAGCCUGAUCCAGCCAUGCCGCGUGAGUGAUGAGGGCCUUAGGGUUGUAAAGCUCUUUUAUCCGGGACGAUAAUGACGGUACCGGAGGAAUAAGCCCCGGCUAACUUCGUG
Molecule: ribosomal RNA, 433 nt
Filed under: uncultured bacterium
Lineage: Bacteria
Description: partial 16S ribosomal RNA
Rfam family: Bacterial small subunit ribosomal RNA
Source: RNAcentral